GUGUCAGCCGCCGCGGUAAUACGGAGGGUGCAAGCGUUAUCCGGAUUCACUGGGUUUAAAGGGUGCGUAGGCGGGCAUUUAAGUCAGUGGUGAAAUACCUGAGCUUAACUUGGGAACUGCCAUUGAUACUGCUAGUCUUGAGUAUGGUUGAGGUGGGCGGAAUGUGUCAUGUAGCGGUGAAAUGCUUAGAUAUGACCCAGAACACCAAUUGCGAAGGCAGCUUGCUAAGCUAUAACUGACACUGAUGCACGAAAGCGUGGGGAGCAAACAGGAUUAGAUACCCUUGUAGUCC
This 292-nucleotide ribosomal RNA is filed under the name uncultured bacterium. Its description in RNAcentral is "partial 16S ribosomal RNA". It matches the Rfam family "Bacterial small subunit ribosomal RNA", at positions 505 to 796 of the family's 1533-position model. The record is from RNAcentral.